RNAcentral lists this long non-coding RNA (1050 nucleotides) under Nicotiana benthamiana. RNAcentral describes it as "long non-coding RNA (NBEN_LNC014493)". The record is from RNAcentral. Lineage: Eukaryota; Viridiplantae; Streptophyta; Magnoliopsida; Solanales; Solanaceae.
GCAUCUAAGUCUAACAUGCCUUUACUAAAUCAUGUAUUAAAUGCAUUAAUAAUGGAUUGAGAGUCUUUUAAGGUGAAAUGUAUAUAUUUUUGUAAAAAUUAGUGCAGUAUAUUUAAAAAGCUUUUCGAGUAAUUCUCCUUUUUCGUUCUUUACCAAUUUAGUCCCAGAAAUUUCACAUGCUGCGGUAUGCAUGCAUGUGAAAGGUCGAUCUUUCCAACAACUUUUCUCGUAAUUCAUCAUAUUAAUUUGAACAUCUUAAUUUAUGUAAUAAUUCUCAAACAAACUUAAUUUUAAGGUUUAGUUUAGGGGUUUUUUCAUACUUGUUAGAAACUUUAUUAUCAAAAAUAUUCAUAUUUACAUAAUUACCCGACCUACCCAUGUUUAGUUUACAAAAAUAUAUACAUUUCACCUUACAAGUCUCUCAAUCCAUUAUUAAUGCAUUUAACAACGGAUUUAGUAAAGGCGACUUAGAUGCUUUUUUAAUCAAGUGUUAAUGCUAUCGUUGUAAUUGACCCCUGAGGAUUUAGUAAAGGCAUGUUAGACUUAGAUGCCUUUGGUAGGGUGUAUAUUUAAAAAGCUUUUCGAGUAAUGCUCCUUUUUCGUUCUUUACCAAUUUAGUCCCAGAAAUUUCACAUGCUGCGGUAUGCAUGCAUGUGAAAGGUCGAUCUUUCCAACAACUUUUCUCGUAAUUCAUCAUAUUAAUUUGAACAUCUUAAUUUAUGUAAUAAUUCUCAAACAAACUUAAUUUUAAGGUUUAGUUUAGGGGUUUUUUCAUACUUGUUAGAAACUUUAUUAUCAAAAAUAUUCAUAUUUACAUAAUUACCCGACCUACCCAUGUUUAGUUUACAAAAAUAUAUACAUUUCACCUUACAAGUCUCUCAAUCCAUUAUUAAUGCAUUUAACAACGGAUUUAGUAAAGGCGACUUAGAUGCUUUUUUAAUCAAGUGUUAAUGCUAUCGUUGUAAUUGACCCCUGACAUCCUUCCCUCCAAGAACUUCCCACCUUACUCUUGGGGAGACUCCAACUCACACCCUCUCGGUUGGAAGUGGA